CCCUUGUCUACCUUACCACUGCUUGCUUCGGCGGGACCGUCCCCUUAGGGGGGCGACCCGGGGCUGGCUUAACCGCCGUCCGGGCGAGCUCCCGCCAGAAGACACUUAAAUUCUGUUGAUCAGUGACUGUCUGAGAUUAUAUUUAAUCAUUAAAACUUUCAACAACGGAUCUCUUGGUUCCAGCAUCGAUGAAGAACGCAGCGAAAUGCGAUAAGUAAUGUGAAUUGCAGAAUUCCGUGAAUCAUCGAAUCUUUGAACGCACAUUGCGCCCUCUGGUAUUCCGGGGGGCAUGCCUGUCCGAGCGUCAUUUGCAACCCUCAAGCCCGGCUUGUGUGAUGGGUGCCGUCCCCUACGGGACGCGCCCCGAAGGCAAUGGCGGCGUCGCGGUUAUCCGAUCAGCCAAAGUGUAUGGGGCUUUGUCACUCACUUUACGGCCCGGACCGGCGCCAGUCCGAAUCAAUCUUUUUUCUAAAGUUGACCUCGGAUCAGGUAGGGAUACCCGCUGAACUUAAGCAUAUCAAUAAGCGGGAGGA
RNAcentral lists this ribosomal RNA (533 nucleotides) under Gymnoascus sp. OY18207. Its description in RNAcentral is "eukaryotic LSU rRNA". The stretch from base 154 to 307 matches the Rfam family "5.8S ribosomal RNA". Lineage: Eukaryota; Fungi; Ascomycota; Eurotiomycetes; Onygenales; Gymnoascaceae. The record is from RNAcentral.